GGCGGUUCUUGGGUGAUGCACCCCGGAAUCAGGUUCCCUCCUCUCUGGUUCUGUGUGUGCCACUCGAGAACCGCA
Molecule: non-coding RNA, 75 nt
Organism: Myotis davidii
Lineage: Eukaryota; Metazoa; Chordata; Mammalia; Chiroptera; Vespertilionidae
Source: Rfam